RNAcentral lists this ribosomal RNA (377 nucleotides) under uncultured bacterium. Its description in RNAcentral is "bacterial SSU rRNA". It matches the Rfam family "Bacterial small subunit ribosomal RNA", at positions 521 to 896 of the family's 1533-position model. The record is from RNAcentral.
UAAGACGAAGGGGGCUAGCGUUGUUCGGAAUUACUGGGCGUAAAGCGCGUGUAGGCGGUUUGCCAAGUCGGGUGUGAAAGCCUUGGGCUUAACCCAAGAAAUGCACUCGGUACUGGCAGACUAGAGGACCGGAGAGGAUAGUGGAAUUCCCAGUGUAGUGGUGAAAUACGUAGAGAUUGGGAAGAACACCAGUGGCGAAGGCGGCUAUCUGGACGGUUUCUGACGCUAAGACGCGAAAGCGUGGGGAGCAAACAGGAUUAGAUACCCUGGUAGUCCUAGCUGUAAACGAUGGAUACUUGCUGUGGGGGGUGUUAAAUCCCCCUGUGGCGGAGCUAACGCAUUAAGUAUCCCGCCUGGGGAGUACGGUCGCAAGGCUG